CUUUCCCACUCUGAAAAAACCCAAAUCCCAACCCAGGUUCAUCAAAAUCACGCGGUAAGGUGCAAAGCCCAAGGCCAGAGGGAUAAAAUCAAAGUGCUAUAGAUGGUGCAUUCUCCAGGCUUGAUUGCCAACCUGCAUGAGCUUCUCUGUACUAAUAUUUGCAGCUUCCAUGUAACUAGAGCCUAGAGGGCGGCAAUGGUGGAGAUUCAGUGGCUAUGAUGUUCUCCACUCUCCAAUUGUGGCAUGAAUUAUCCUGGGCAUAUCCACUUGAGGAAGAAAGCAGUAUGAUAAAAAGGAAGAUUGAAGAAUGGAACUACAAGGGAAAGACUUUGAUUGUGUUGUGUCUUGGACGAGUGGUAUAAAGAGAGAGAGGAAAGGAGAGUAACCAGAAGAAUGACAACAGAAGUUCAAUGGAG
This 416-nucleotide unclassified non-coding RNA is filed under the name Hevea brasiliensis (rubber tree). The record is from RNAcentral. Lineage: Eukaryota; Viridiplantae; Streptophyta; Magnoliopsida; Malpighiales; Euphorbiaceae.